UACGUAGGGGGCGAGCGUUGUUCGGAAUUACUGGGCGUAAAGGGCUCGUAGGCGGCCAACUAAGUCAGACGUGAAAUCCCUCGGCUUAACCGGGGAACUGCGUCUGAUACUGGAUGGCUUGAGGUUGGGAGAGGGAUGCGGAAUUCCAGGUGUAGCGGUGAAAUGCGUAGAUAUCUGGAGGAACACCGGUGGCGAAGGCGGCAUCCUGGACCAAUUCUGACGCUGAGGAGCGAAAGCCAGGGGGGCAAACGGG
RNAcentral lists this ribosomal RNA (253 nucleotides) under uncultured bacterium. RNAcentral describes it as "partial 16S ribosomal RNA". It matches the Rfam family "Bacterial small subunit ribosomal RNA", at positions 524 to 776 of the family's 1533-position model. The record is from RNAcentral.